GCUCCGGUGGCCUAGUGGUUAGAGCAUCCACCUCAGAUGUGGGAGGUCAUAGGUUCAGUCCCUUGUUGAGUCA
Potamilus streckersoni is the source of this 73-nucleotide non-coding RNA. The record is from the annotation of a GenBank genome assembly. NCBI's taxonomy places the organism in Eukaryota, Metazoa, Mollusca, Bivalvia, Unionida, Unionidae.